UCGUCAGCUCGUGUCGUGAGAUGUUGGGUUAAGUCCCGCAACGAGCGCAACCCUUGUUACUAGUUGCCAGCAUUGAGUUGGGCACUCUAGUGAGACUGCCGGUGACAAACCGGAGGAAGGUGGGGACGACGUCAGAUCAUCAUGCCCCUUAUGACCUGGGCUACACACGUGCUACAAUGGACGGUACAACGAGUCGCAAACUCGCGAGAGUAAGCUAAUCUCUUAAAGCCGUUCUCAGUUCGGACUGUAGGCUGCAACUCGCCUACACGAAGUCGGAAUCGCUAGUAAUCGCGGAUCAGCAUGCCGCGGUGAAUACGUUCCCGGGCCUUGUACACACCGCCCGUCACACCAUGGGAGUUUGUAACGCCCAAAGUCGGUGGCCUAACCUUUAUGGAGGGAGCCGCCUAAGGCGGGACAGAUGACUGGGGUGAAGUCGUAACAAGGUAACCGUA
Molecule: ribosomal RNA, 452 nt
Filed under: uncultured bacterium
Lineage: Bacteria
Description: bacterial SSU rRNA
Rfam family: Bacterial small subunit ribosomal RNA
Source: RNAcentral